The sequence is a transfer RNA, 77 nucleotides long. It matches the Rfam family "tRNA". From Rfam's summary of the family: Transfer RNA (tRNA) molecules are approximately 80 nucleotides in length. Their secondary structure includes four short double-helical elements and three loops (D, anti-codon, and T loops).
CGGGGCGUGGCGCAGCUUGGUAGCGCGCUUGCUUUGGGUGCAAGAAGUCGUGGGUUCAAAUCCCGCCGCCCCGACCC